GACGAACGCUGGCGGCGUGCUUAACACAUGCAAGUCGAACGGAAAGGCCCUUCGGGGUACUCGAGUGGCGAACGGGUGAGUAACACGUGGGUGAUCUGCCCUGCACUUUGGGAUAAGCCUGGGAAACUGGGUCUAAUACCGAAUAGGACCACGCGCUUCAUGGUGUGUGGUGGAAAGCUUUUGCGGUGUGGGAUGGGCCCGCGGCCUAUCAGCUUGUUGGUGGGGUAAUGGCCUACCAAGGCGACGACGGGUAGCCGGCCUGAGAGGGUGACCGGCCACACUGGGACUGAGGUACGGCCCAGACUCCUACGGGAGGCAGCAGUGGGGAAUAUUGCACAAUGGGCGCAAGCCUGAUGCAGCGACGCCGCGUGAGGGAUGACGGCCUUCGGGUUGUAAACCUCUUUCACCAGGGACGAAGCGUAAGUGACGGUACCUGGAGAAGAAGCACCGGCCAACUACGUG
RNAcentral lists this ribosomal RNA (462 nucleotides) under uncultured bacterium. Its description in RNAcentral is "partial 16S ribosomal RNA". It matches the Rfam family "Bacterial small subunit ribosomal RNA", at positions 28 to 507 of the family's 1533-position model. The record is from RNAcentral.